RNAcentral lists this ribosomal RNA (450 nucleotides) under uncultured bacterium. RNAcentral describes it as "partial 16S ribosomal RNA". It matches the Rfam family "Bacterial small subunit ribosomal RNA", at positions 354 to 795 of the family's 1533-position model. The record is from RNAcentral.
GUAGGGAAUAUUGCGCAAUGGGGGAAACCCUGACGCAGCAACGCCGCGUGAGUGAGGAAGGUCUUCGGAUUGUAAAACUCUUUUAUUAGGGAAAAAUGUCUAGGUGGCUAAUAUCCACUUAGAGUGAUGGUACCUAAGGAAUAAGCACCGGCUAACUUCGUGCCAGCAGCCGCGGUAAUACGAAGGGUGCAAGCGUUGUUCGGAAUCAUUGGGCGUAAAGCGCGCGCAGGCGGGUCAGUAAGUCAGGUGUGAAAUCUCGGAGCUCAACUCCGAAACUGCGCCUGAAACUAUUGGUCUAGAGUAUCGGAGGGGACAGGGGAAUUUCACGUGUAGGGGUAAAAUCCGUAGAGAUGUGAAGGAACACCGGAGGCGAAGGCGCCUGUCUGGACGAUUACUGACGCUGAGGCGCGAAAGCGUGGGGAGCAAACAGGAUUAGAAACCCCAGUAGUC